RNAcentral lists this ribosomal RNA (499 nucleotides) under uncultured bacterium. Its description in RNAcentral is "bacterial SSU rRNA". It matches the Rfam family "Bacterial small subunit ribosomal RNA", at positions 29 to 526 of the family's 1533-position model. The record is from RNAcentral.
AAUGAACGUUGGCGGCGUGGAUUAGGCAUGCAAGUCGAGCGAGAACCCGCAAGGGGGACAGCGGCGAACGGGGUAGGACAACGUAGGUAACGUACCCUCGGGGCGAGGACAGCCACGGGAAACUGUGGGUAAUACUCGAUAAUCUUCCCUUUCAUGAUGGAAGGGGAAGCAAUGGGUGAGAUUCCACCUGAGGAGCGGCUUACGCAGUACCAGCUUGUUGGGGAGGUAACGGCUCACCAAGGCGACGACGCUUAGGGGGUGUGAGAGCAUGGCCCCCACCACUGGCACUGAGACACUGGCCAGACACCUACGGGUGGCUGCAGUCGAGAAUCUUCGGCAAUGGGCGCAAGCCUGACCGAGCGACGCCGCGUGCGGGAUGAAGGCCUUCGGGUUGUAAACCGCUGUCAGAGGGGAUGAAGUGUACGGGAGCUAUCUCCUGUAUUUGACAGAGCCUCAGAGGAAGCACGGGCUAAGUUCGUGCCAGCCGCCGCGGUAAUAC